Podarcis muralis (Common wall lizard) is the source of this 2557-nucleotide long non-coding RNA. Lineage: Eukaryota; Metazoa; Chordata; Lepidosauria; Squamata; Lacertidae. The record is from Ensembl.
AUGCAUGCAAAGCAGGCACUCUCCUACUGCUCCACAGCCCUUUCCCGCAAAAGAUCCCUGUUUCUGAGGCAGACUCAGAGGCUCCCUUUACAUAACCGCCUCACCACCUGGCAGCUCCGCACACCUUCGCCAGGAGGAUGCGAGAAGUGGAGCGCGGUGGGGGUGGGCUUAUCCACACCCAGCGCCCUCAACGCCCCCCCCCCGCGCGCGCGGACUCGAGAGACAGUUUCUUCUGCCACGAGGAAGGAGAGGCGUGAGGUAGGAAACAACACGCGUCUCCCUCCCUCCGCACGGUAUUCCCACGACCAGCAGGUCCCUCACCUUCGUGGGAAAGCGACAACUUUUACUAGGGUAGACAGUGAGAUGAAUAACAGUUCUUGGCAGAAGACGGAUUGCAGCAGAAUGGAAACCAUGAUGAGUGCAACAAAUACAGAAUGGGAACCCCUUCCUUCUUACAUCUCUACUUCAGAGAGAGGAUGCUUGCAGACUAUUUUCCGCUGGGAUUCAAUCACAUGCCAUCAAAUUCAGGCUGAAAAAUUAAAGCCCCUACUUUGGGGGUUGUUUUUCUGGUAAGAAGAAUGAUGAGGAAAUGCACUGGAAAGUGUGGGGCAAUUCUUGCUCAAUCCUGACCUCCCCACAAACAAAUCACUAUGUUGUCUAAUCUCAUUGCAAACAAAUCAGGAUGAAAGCUCAGUAAACAGGACCAGGAUCUGUCACAAGCACCCUUUCCUUAGGAGUGGCAAGCAAACCUGUUUUUUCUACUUGAUGGAGACACCAGUGUCUCUGCACCAUCAACAACUGAACUCUCACCUAAGUCCUAUCUGCAGGACCAGCAACCAGCACACCUACUUCUAAGGAAAGGUGCAAAGUUUGGCAUGCUUUAACAAGCUGGGAAACACAACAGUGCAAGGCUCAGGGAGGCAGGAACAGGCUUACCAAAGGUUUUUUUAAAAUAAUAAUUUUUAUUAGUUUUCAAUUACAAUAAUCCAUUAUAACAAUGCCAAAUCAUAAUACAAUUACUAAUACCAAUAAUUCAGAUGCCCAAUUAUAUAAUUUAGGUGGCCCCCGCAUGGUAGAAUUGAUGGUUUGAUUUACUUUAUUUCUGUGUUCCAAAAUCUUAUUAAUUUCAAUUACACUCCAGUCAAAAUAACACUCCCUUGUAAAACAACUGCAAUUGUAACAACUUCCAUUUGUAUUGACACAUUAAAUGAUUUAUAAAACUACAGGUGAAGCAUUCAAACUACCGCAUAUCCUUGUUCUUCCUGUGUGUGGCAAUUAUUCUGUCCGUGGUGUUUCUUUGUAAAACAUUAUGUCUAUCUUUUCCCGGUUGUUGCUGCUCUCCAUCAUGCCUUGGGCAGACCUAAUACCCCAUUGUUGUUUCAGAAGUUCUCCAUUGCUCCGUCCUGUGCUUCAUUGUUUUGCAACUUUAGCAGCAGCUGCAAAAGUCACACCAGGUUUACCAAAUAUUUAAGAGUAAAUCAAGUACUUGUUGAUGCAAGGAAUCACUCAGCUGCAGACUUCUGUCCUCAUUCCCAUCUUCACUUGGUGUACAGUGGUAUCUCAGGUUAAGAACUUAAUUCGUUCUGGAGGUCCGUUCUUAACCUGAAACUGUUCUUAACCUGAGGUACUUUAGCUAAUGGGGCCUCCUGCUGCUGCCACACCGCCGGAGCACGAUUUCUGUUCUCAUCCUGAAGCAAAGUUCUACUUCCAGGUUAGCGGAGUCUGUAACCUGAAGCGUCUGUAACCCGAGGUACCACUGAACAAUGCAAAGGCAUUGGAUACACCCACUUUUUUAUUCAUGCAUUUAUAAAAUAAUGCUUAUUCCACCUUUCAGUACUACAUGGGGGUUGCAUCCCAGCUCAUGGUCCCACAUUAUAUUGUUGUUGUUGUUGAAAAUAAAACAGGCUGCUAAAACACAUAGCAGCACGGGAAUAAAGUUAAAUAGACUUAUGUGGAAGAUAGGUGAUUGUAUCUCACAUCUAUUAAAAAGCUGUCAUGAAGAAAGGAACCCAAUUGAAUCAGGACUGUGGUUUGUUUUCUCCUAAGAACAGAAUAAGAGCUUGCUGGAUCAGGCCAGUUGCCCAUGUAGUCCAGCAUCUGGUUCUCACAUGGCUAACAAGAUACUUCUGGGAAACCUAUCAAGAAGGACCUGAAUGCAACAGGUCUCACUCCUGUAAUUCCCAGGAACUCCUAUUCAGCCAGGGAGCCAGAGCGUAGCCACCCUUGCUAGCAGUCACUGGUGGCCUUCUCCUUCGUGAAUUUGUCCAGUCCUCUUUUAAAACCAUUCAAGUUGGUUGUUGCCACAACUGCAUCCUUUGGGAGUAAAUUCUGUAGUUGAACUAUGAGUUGUGUGUAGAAGUACUUUGUGUGCGUUUUUCUCUGGAAUCCUCCCAAGUUUUAGGAUUAUGAGAGAAAAAGUGUGAUUGCAAAAAGCCUCAAAUGUUGCAACCUGGAGCAAAUCGCAGCAGGGAACAGCAAUUGACAUCAGGAAAAUGAUGUGAGAGGGGAAAGGUUAAACCGCUCCUAUUCCAUCACUGCAGUCCUGAUUCCAAUCUCU